Fragaria vesca subsp. vesca is the source of this 2153-nucleotide RNA transcript. It is a transcript of the gene named receptor-like serine/threonine-protein kinase At2g45590-like, with no coding region annotated. Lineage: Eukaryota; Viridiplantae; Streptophyta; Magnoliopsida; Rosales; Rosaceae. The record is from RefSeq and is a predicted model, not a curated record. The transcript has a single exon.
AUGCCAUCCCCGCCACCGCUCACCCAACACCACCACCACCACCGCAACCGCCACCUCCUCAUUCCGCUCCUCACCGUAACCCUAACCGUCACUCUCCUCUCCGCCCUCGUCUUCAUUGUCUUCCUCUACCGCAAGCUCUCCAGAAGCCGCACGACGCCGUUCGAUCACCAGAAUAGUAACACCACCGCCGUUAACGCCGCCGUCGAUAGUAACAAUGAGAACGGCAACAGCAGCAGAAGCCAGCAGCAGCAGAAAAAGUUCUCGUACUCUGUUCUGCGCCGCGCCACCGGUUCGUUCUCGGCGUCGAACCGGCUCGGCCACGGCGGGUUCGGGUCGGUGUACAAGGCCACGCUCCCUUCCGGCCAAUCCCUCGCCGUGAAAGUGAUGGACUCCGAGGGGUCUUUACAAGGCGAGCGUGAGUUUCACAAUGAACUCUCUCUGGCUUUGAACCUCAGCAAUCCUCACAUACUUUCUCUCCUCGGCUUCUCCACCGACCGCCGUGGCCGGAAGCUGUGCUUAGUCUACGAGCUCAUGCCGAAUCGGAGCCUCCAGGAGGCUCUGCUGGACCGGAAGUGCCCGGAGCUCAUGGCGUGGAAGAAGCGGUUCAGUGUGGUUCUGGAUGUUGCGAGAGGACUGGAGUAUCUGCAUGACGACUGUGACCCGCCGGUGAUUCACGGCGACGUGAAGCCGAGCAAUGUGCUGCUGGACUCGGAUUUCAACGCCAAGAUCGGAGAUUUCGGGCUGGCGAGGCUGAAAACGGAGGCGGAGUUCGAUCAGGGAGAUCAGGUAGUGGUGGUGGAGGAAGGAGACGAGGGAGAGGCUGAGAAAAAAGAGGUUCUUGAAGUGGCGGUGGCGGUUGGGGAUGAUAACGGUUCGAUCUUGGAGGAGGAGAGCAUGAGUUUCAGUGUGGUGACCGGUGGAUUGGAAGACGGGAGGUCGCCGGAUUGUUGCGUGGUGAGGAUUUCGGAUUCGGAGGCGUCGCCGGUGGCGGCGGCGGCGGCGGGGUUGUCGCCGGAGGGGGUUUUGAUAAGUUUAGUGUUGACAGUGAGAAGGAGUUGGUUAGUGGGAAGAGGAUUAAGGGAAGUUCGGGGAGGGAUUGGUGGUGGAAGCAGGACAAUGGAGGAGGAGGAGGGUCUGAGUCUGGGAGGGUGAAGGAUUAUGUAAUGGAGUGGAUUGGGAGUGAGAUUAAGAAAGAGAGGCCGAAGAGCGAAUGGGUUGCUUCUCCGAGUACUAAUAGUGAGCCGAAGAAGCGCAGGAAGAAGUUGGAGUGGUGGGUGUCGUUGGAUGAGGACAAGGUGAAGAAGAAGGAGAAGGCUAGGAAGCCGAGGGAGUGGUGGAAGGAGGAAUUUUGCGAUGAGCUUAGUAAGAAAAAGAAGAAGAAGAAGAGGGGGUUUGAUUCGGGUUGCGGUGGAGAUUUGUGGUGGCAGAAAGACGAGGAGGAUAUGGGGUCGGAGAGGAAGAAGAGGAAGAGUAAGAGCAAGAGUAGUAGAGGUAGCAUUGAUUGGUGGUUAGACGGAUUUGGUAGUGAGCUGAGAAGUGGGAGGAGGAAUAGUCAAGACUGGGCUAGUUGCGGUGGUGGUGAUAUACCAAAGAGUGGUGGCAUUAGUAGCACACCGAGCAUGAGAGGCACGGUUUGUUAUGUUGCUCCUGAAUAUGGUGGUGGAGGGCAGCUCUCUGAGAAAUGCGAUGUGUAUAGCUUCGGCGUUUUGGUUUUGGUGUUGAUUUCGGGGCGGAGGCCGCUCCAAGUAACAGCCUCCCCCAUGUCGGAAUUUGAGAGGGCCAAUCUGAUUUCAUGGGCUAGGCAGCUUGCUCGAAAUGGGAAGCUUUUGGACCUUGUAGACCAGUCUAUACAUUCUUUGAACAAGGAAGAGGCAUUGCUUUGUAUCACAAUUGCAUUGCUCUGUUUGCAAAGAACACCAGGCAAACGGCCAACCAUGAAGGAAAUUGUAGGGAUGCUGACGGGUGAAGCCGAGCCGCCCCAUUUGCCCUUCGAGUUCUCACCAUCCCCGCCUUCCAACUUUCCGUUCAAGUCCCGGAAAAAGGCCCGGUGAGUUUUUUUAUUUUGUGAUUCCAUUGACUGUAGAGUGUACUUUUGUAGGUCGUUUCUAAUUAUGAUGUUGUGUAGAAUUUCUUGCUUAAAAGUGAAGAAAGCU